UAUCAGUCUAUCGCGUCUCUUGACCGCUCGUUUCCUUUUCAGGCUGAGCAGCUCUGGCCUGCUGUAUUUAAAGCUUAUCUUAAAAGAAAGGAGACGGGGACAGCCAUUAUUAUUUUCUGAGAACGGAUCGUUUGGAACAACAGGCGCGUUAAAGUUAGCAUGUGAAGAGCUACGGGCUAGGGUGGAGUUCGUUUCUUUUGUUCUUGGAAGCUGAAUAGGAGAAAGGGACAUUUCAGCUUUUCUUGAUAAAGGCUGUACAACUUUACUUAAACUGCAAGGCGGGAAGGGGUCUUGAAAAUUAAGAAUCCUUCAGGUAAGGACUGAAUUCAAGCCUUUCUUUUCUGUAGAGACUAUGGUUAUUAAUAA
RNAcentral lists this long non-coding RNA (366 nucleotides) under Struthio camelus australis. RNAcentral describes it as "lncRNA (ENSSCUG00000001732.1)". Lineage: Eukaryota; Metazoa; Chordata; Aves; Struthioniformes; Struthionidae. The record is from RNAcentral.